CCCAGACUCCUACGGGAGGCAGCAGUGAGGAAUAUUGGUCAAUGGGCGAGAGCCUGAACCAGCCAAGUCGCGUGAGGGAGUACUGCCCUAUGGGUUGUAAACCUCUUUUGUCGGGGAGCAAAAGCCGGACGUGUCCGGCUGUGAGAGUACCCGAAGAAAAAGCAUCGGCUAACUCCGUGCCAGCAGCCGCGGUAAUACGGAGGAUGCGAGCGUUAUCCGGAUUUAUUGGGUUUAAAGGGUGCGUAGGCGGAAUGCCAAGUCAGCGGUAAAAUCGCGGGGCUCAACCUCGCUCCGCCGUUGAAACUGGCGUUCUUGAGUGGGCGAGAAGUAUGCGGAAUGCGUGGUGUAGCGGUGAAAUGCAUAGAUAUCACGCAGAACUCCGAUUGCGAAGGCAGCAUACCGGCGCCCAACUGACGCUGAAGCACGAAAGCGUGGGUAUCGAACAGGAUUAGAUACCCCCGUAC
Molecule: ribosomal RNA, 464 nt
Filed under: uncultured bacterium
Lineage: Bacteria
Description: bacterial SSU rRNA
Rfam family: Bacterial small subunit ribosomal RNA
Source: RNAcentral